RNAcentral lists this ribosomal RNA (543 nucleotides) under Schwanniomyces vanrijiae. RNAcentral's name for it is "partial large subunit ribosomal RNA". It matches the Rfam family "Eukaryotic large subunit ribosomal RNA", at positions 22 to 570 of the family's 3401-position model. Lineage: Eukaryota; Fungi; Ascomycota; Pichiomycetes; Serinales; Debaryomycetaceae. The record is from RNAcentral.
UACCCGCUGAACUUAAGCAUAUCAAUAAGCGGAGGAAAAGAAACCAACAGGGAUUGCCUCAGUAACGGCGAGUGAAGCGGCAAAAGCUCAAAUUUGAAAUCUGGCACCUUCGGUGUCCGAGUUGUAAUUUGAAGAAGGUAACUUUGGAGUUGGCUCUUGUCUAUGUUCCUUGGAACAGGACGUCACAGAGGGUGAGAAUCCCGUGCGAUGAGAUGCCCAAUUCUAUGUAAAGUGCUUUCGAAGAGUCGAGUUGUUUGGGAAUGCAGCUCUAAGUGGGUGGUAAAUUCCAUCUAAAGCUAAAUAUUGGCGAGAGACCGAUAGCGAACAAGUACAGUGAUGGAAAGAUGAAAAGAACUUUGAAAAGAGAGUGAAAAAGUACGUGAAAUUGUUGAAAGGGAAGGGCUUGAGAUCAGACUUGGUAUUUUGCAAGCUUUACCUUCGUGGUGGAGUCCCCUGCAGUUUACUGGGCCAGCAUCGGUUUGGAUGGUAGGAUAAUGACUUGGGAAUGUGGCUUUGCUUCGGUAAAGUGUUAUAGCCCUUGUU